AUGCGAUAAGUAAUGUGAAUUGCAGAAUUCAGUGAAUCAUCGAAUCUUUGAACGCACAUUGCGCCCCCCAGUAUUCUGGCGGGCAUGCCUGUUCGAGCGUCAUUUCAACCAUCAAGCCCUGCUUGUGUUGGGGUCCUGCGGCUGCCCGCAGGCCCUGAAAACCAGUGGCGGGCUCGCUAGUCACACCGAGCGCAGUAGCACAUCUCGCUCAGGGCGUGCGGCGGGCUCCAGCCGUUAAAGCACCCACCUUUCGCAAGGUUGACCUCGGAUCAGGUAGGAAUACCCGCUGAACUUAA
This 296-nucleotide unclassified non-coding RNA is filed under the name uncultured Zopfiella. RNAcentral's name for it is "partial contains 5.8S ribosomal RNA, internal transcribed spacer 2, and large subunit ribosomal RNA". The stretch from base 1 to 102 matches the Rfam family "5.8S ribosomal RNA", at positions 53 to 154 of the family's 154-position model. The record is from RNAcentral. Lineage: Eukaryota; Fungi; Ascomycota; Sordariomycetes; Sordariales; Chaetomiaceae.